AUUGAACGCUGGCGGCAGGCCUAACACAUGCAAGUCGAGCGGAGCGGCGGACGGGUGAGUAAUGCCUAGGAAUCUGCCUGCCAGUGGGGGAUAACGUCCGGCAACGGGCGCUAAUACCGCCUACUUUCAGACGAGCCUAGGUCGGAUUGGCUAGUUGGUGGGGUAAAGGCCUACUCAGGCGACGAUCCGUAACUGGUCUGAGUGGAUGAUCAGUCACACUGGAACUGAGACACGGUCCAGACUCCUACGGGAGGCAGCAGUGGGGAAUAUUGGACAAUGGGCGAAAGCCUGAUCCAGCCAUGCCGCGUGUGUGAAGAAGGUCUUCGGAUUGUAAAGCACUUUAAGUUGGGAGGCGUUACCAACAGAAUAGGCACCGGCUAACUUCGUGCCAGCCGCCGCGGUAAUAC
This 407-nucleotide ribosomal RNA is filed under the name uncultured bacterium. RNAcentral describes it as "partial 16S ribosomal RNA". It matches the Rfam family "Bacterial small subunit ribosomal RNA", at positions 30 to 526 of the family's 1533-position model. The record is from RNAcentral.